ACAGUCUCAGUUCGGAUUGAAGGCUGAAAUUCGCCUUCAUGAAGCCGGAAUUGCUAGUAAUGGCAGGUCAGCAUGCUGCCGUGAAUACGUUCCCGGGCCUUGUACACACCGCCCGUCACACCAUGAGAGUUGGGGAUACCCGAAGCCUGUGAGCUAACAGUAAUGAAGCAGCAGUCGAAGGUAGAAUCAAUGAUUGGGGUGAAGUCGUAACAAGGUAUC
RNAcentral lists this ribosomal RNA (219 nucleotides) under uncultured bacterium. RNAcentral describes it as "partial 16S ribosomal RNA". It matches the Rfam family "Bacterial small subunit ribosomal RNA", at positions 1282 to 1500 of the family's 1533-position model. The record is from RNAcentral.